This 2846-nucleotide long non-coding RNA is filed under the name Pan troglodytes (chimpanzee). RNAcentral's name for it is "lincRNA". Lineage: Eukaryota; Metazoa; Chordata; Mammalia; Primates; Hominidae. The record is from RNAcentral.
AGACUACUGACUUGGACCAGCAGGGGAAUGGCUGUGACAAUAAAUAAGAUUGGGAAAACAAGAAGUCCUUUCCAGGACACUGAAGGCUGCAGAGGUGUGACUGGAUGCUGGUGGAGGGAUGCAUGGCGGGGAAGCUGAGUCAGAUGCUGAAAUCCUCCAAGCAUGCGCCUGAAAUGACCAAGGAAAUGAAGGCGGAGGCUGCUGUCGCCUGGUGGCCUGGGAAGGGCCAAGAGCCAGGGAGCUGGAGGGAGGAGAGAACGUGCGACCUCAGCACGGAGCACUGUAGGGGAGGCGGGGCUCGAGGGAGAUGGCGCCGCGCUCCCCGAUGAACAGAGAAAGCGACAGGGUGAGUCGCAGGGCACAGUGUGGGAUGAGUCACCGACAGCAAGGCAUGGACUCCGGGAAGAAGGGGGAGACGAGCCGGGAAAGACUUGCAUCGGGGAUGUGAGCUGAGCUGCACCCAGACAAAAGCGGCUCGGGGCUCCUGAAAGCAGCGGGCACCGCCGGUCCUGCCAAGGGGCUACUUCCUGCGCGGAGUAGGAGAGUAGGAGACCCCAGGCCAGUCCCAAUCCCCGGCCCGUCCGGGAUGAGGGGGGCUGCGGGAGCUGCGGGGGCCUCCGCCGGGGAGGACGGUUCCAGGGUCCCUCGGCCGCCGCCCACUCCCGGGGGCGUUCCUUCCUCCCAGCUGCGCCCGGAGCGCCUGCUGCCUGGCAAGAGCCCGCCCCUCUGCGCCCAGCCCGCUGCAGCGGAGGGCGCCUGGGUGCCCUCGCCCGAGCCAGCAGCCCACGGUCGGCGCCGCACUGCCCCCUGGUGGCGGAGCGCUCCCGCGACCCGGCUCGCCACGCCUGGGAGGGGUCCAGGAGGACGCGGCUGGGGCCUGGGGGCUCUCAGGGUGGGGCCUUAGGGGAUGAGGCUGGGGCCCGCGGGAAACCGGGCUGGGGCGAGAAGGCUCGCAGGACUUCUUGCCACAGAAUGUUUCGAUGCUGUUUUUAAUUCUGCAAAUGUAAGCCUUUCCACUUUAAGUCCAAGCUCAGCGCAGAGGACUGUUCUAUAAUACAUACAAUUUAGUUUAAAAAUGUUGCAAAUGUUAACGGGUGUCCUUGUCACAAACUCAAGCAAUCCAGUAUUAUAGAAAGCAAAGAAUGAAAUGUGCUUCUUCUUUCUCCCCCAGACGCCCUUGCAUACAUUAAGAUAUGUAUAUAUGGAAAUGUUACCGGGAGUCCCGGUUAUCCCAAAAAGGAUUGUUUCCUGUUGUGUGGUGAGGCCAAUGCACGAAACCGAAAGGGAGUGUGUCAAGCAGUGCAGGCUUUAUUCAAUGGCUCUGGAAUUGGAAGAUCUGAAAUCAACUUAGCUGGUGAGAGCUGGGAAGUUACAGAGGUAGGGUGUCUUUAAUGAAGGGGCUGGGCAUUAAGAGCACGGGGGGGAAUAUUCAUGCUUUUCUUGGGAAAGAACGGAGAUUUUUCCCGGAAUCAAGGAACCCCUUUUUUUCUGUCCCUUCUUGGUCUCUUCCAGUCGUUGUCAUGGCGACUGUCAAUUGUCACGGCGCUGGUGGGAGUGUUGUUUAGCAUGAGAACUGGAUGAUAAUAAAGCCAGAGGCUCGUCAGAGGCGCCAUCUUGGAUUUCGCCAGCUUCAGCUGGUUUCGUCCCAAGAAGGAACUUCAAAACACAGGCAUUGUUUUUCCUGAAAAUAAGCAGAGUUAAAGCUGAGUAGGAAUUUAGCUCUGUCCCAUAUGCUAUCGCGUUGGGCAGCAAAAGCAGGGUGGGGUCCAGCGAAAUCAGCAGGCACUGCAAUGAGUAACAUACCCAGCUACGUUUAUGCAGCAUUUUUACGAAAAUGAAACCAUACUACCUGUAAAGGAAGAUAUGCUAACAAACAACAAAACUGGCAGGAACCAAGAUUCCUACUGACACUACCCUUAGUUUUAAUUUUCCCUGACAACAAAUGAGGUUAACAGAGCAUAAUUAUCAUCUACGGUGACCCCUUCAAAAAGACAGGCUGUAUACAUUUGCACUAAGAGAAGAAAUCGUGUAAUGUCAGCAAAUUUCCCCCACUUAAAGCUUCUCUAUUUAAAAAGCUUCACGCACACACGCACGCAUAUGUCUUCAAGAUGACCACAAUUUAUUUUGCAGUCAUUCUUUGCACCAGUUCCCAAUUUUUCCCACUAGCUCGCAAGCUCCGUGACUCGAGGAGACCGGGGGAUCAGAGUUUGUUUUUGCUGAGAAGUGAGUCCUUUAUGCCCCAAAUAGUGACUGACAUAGAGAAGGUACUCAGUAAACACUUUUUAAAGGAAUGCCUGCCUGACUGAAUCUUAAUGGUGUGAGGCUUCUAGUGUGAUACCCUACCUUGUUUUACCCUGAAGUGACUCUUCCUUAGCUAAGAGAGCCAGACGGACUCCAUCGUGACUCCUUCACUCGCAGCUCCUUACCCACCCCCUUCCUCAAGGACUUAACUUGUGCAAGCUGACUCCCAGCACAUCAAGAAUGCAAUUAACUGAUAAGAUACUGUGGCAAGCUAUAUCCGCAGUUCCCAGGAAUUCGCCCGGUUAAUAGCACCCAGAGCCCCUGCGUUUGUGUCCGGUUGAUAACGCCCAAAGCCCGGCGUCUAUCACCUUAGGAUAGACUUAAAGCCUCUGCACCUGGAACUGUUUACUUUCCUGUAACCGUUUAUCCUUUUAACUUUUUGCCUACUUUACUUCUGUAAGAUUGUUUCAACUAGACUCCCCCUCUCCCCUGUCUAAACCAAAGUAUAGAAGAAAAUCUAGCUCCUUCUUCCGGGCCAAGAGAAUUUUGAGCGCUAGCUGUCUCUCGGCUGCCGGCUAAUAAAGGACUCCUGAAUUCGUCUCAGA